RNAcentral lists this ribosomal RNA (445 nucleotides) under uncultured bacterium. RNAcentral describes it as "partial 16S ribosomal RNA". It matches the Rfam family "Bacterial small subunit ribosomal RNA", at positions 354 to 796 of the family's 1533-position model. The record is from RNAcentral.
GUAAGGAAUAUUGGUCAAUGGAGGCAACUCUGAACCAGCCAUGCCGCGUGCAGGAAGACGGCCCUCUGGGUUGUAAACUGCUUUUAUCCGGGAAUAAACCUGCCUUCGUGAAGGUAGCUGAAUGUACCGGAAGAAUAAGGAUCGGCUAACUCCGUGCCAGCAGCCGCGGUAAUACGGAGGAUCCAAGCGUUAUUCGGAUUUAUUGGGUUUAAAGGGUGCGUAGGCGGCCUGUUAAGUCAGGGGUGAAAGACGGUGGCUCAACCAUCGCAGUGCCCUUGAUACUGAUGGGCUUGAAUGGACUAGAGGUAGGCGGAAUGUGACAAGUAGCGGUGAAAUGCAUAGAUAUGUCACAGAACACCGAUUGCGAAGGCAGCUUACUAUGGUCUUAUUGACGCUGAGGCACGAAAGCGUGGGGAUCGAACAGGAUUAGAAACCCCAGUAGUCC